Molecule: transfer RNA, 69 nt
Filed under: Lonchophylla concava
Lineage: Eukaryota; Metazoa; Chordata; Mammalia; Chiroptera; Phyllostomidae
Description: tRNA-Gly
Source: RNAcentral
AUUCUUUUAGUAUUAACUAGUACCACUGACUUCCAAUCAGUUAGUUCCGGCUCAAUCUGGAAAAGAAUA